RNAcentral lists this long non-coding RNA (2905 nucleotides) under Sus scrofa (pig). Its description in RNAcentral is "lncRNA (ENSSSCG00005031694.1)". Lineage: Eukaryota; Metazoa; Chordata; Mammalia; Artiodactyla; Suidae. The record is from RNAcentral.
AAAAUGCCUUGUCAUGUAUUCAUCAUUAAGGUAUCAGAGAAUAGUUCAUCCUAAAAAAAAUCCCCUAUGCUUCAUCUAUUCAAUCCUCCCUUCUCUUCAAAUAUUUGCCAACCACCAUUCUGUUUACAGUUUUGCUUUUUAUAGAAUGUCAUAAAAAUAGAAUCAUAUACUAUGUAGUAUGUUUCAGACCAGUUCGAACACCAAUGUUUUUAUAGAGAGGUGAUGGUUAACAGUGUUCACUGGGGUUGAGAGGUAAAUAGGUAGAGAAGAGUGACAGGUAUUAGCAUAGCACAGGCUAGAUCUAGAAGUUUCCAGCAAUAAGAACUGAAAUUACGGAUUGCUAUUUUAGUUCUCAAUGUCAGUGACUCAAGUGUGAGGAGGACUGAAUCACCAGACUCCAGAGAAGGGAAAUCUUACCAUGGAGCAGAGCUCUGGAGAGGGAAAGAUCAAAUCUCAAAGACCCUCAAACCAUCAUCACAUAUGAGCUAAUUAGCAGAACAAUGAGCCAAUACCUUGCAAUAAUUUAGGUCUCAUGGCACAGGAUAAAAUGGCAGUGCUUUUAGAUGUAUUUAAUCUAUUUAUUUGAGCUAAAAUGAAUUGUGAUCAACAGUGAAACAUGCCCAUCUACCUUGGGAAUCACUUACGCCAGCUGUCCAACAUCAUUUAGCUAUGAGGCCCCAAGUGAGGAACAAAUAUGUACAAGGAUUAAGAUUCUGUGCUCACUAGAAGUGACCAUGUGGAGGUAGGUGUCCUAAAAAGCCUCAUCCAGAAGCACAGUACACCUGCACAUACCUGCCCUGCUUUUCUCGGAAUCAGCUAGAAUUCCAUGGCGUGCUGCACAUACUAGGGAGUGUUGGGAAAAAAAACAUACCAAAAAAAACACCGAAAGAGGCAACAAAGAUCUCCACUGAGAUCUUCGCAACAAUUUCUUUUCAUAAAUUUUAGCACAUGAGCUCUUGAAGGGUCGCUAUGGAAAUAGACCAAUCUCUUUGCUGUCUCUAAGGUGAUACCUCCUUGAGCUCUUCCCAACCUCAUUCCCGCUGGCUUCCCAAGUGCACUGGUGGACCUAGUAGCACCUGUCAUGUUGUUUCUUCCAGCUCGACUCAAAGCAGUGUCAGGAUGAGCAGAGGAGCAGACCCACAUGUGCUUCCUACCAUCUGUAGCUCUCAUUCAUUCCCCUAUAGACUACUGAGUAUCAACUGUGCUUUUUCCGAUUUUGGUCACAGAGUCUCAUCACUGGUCAUCAGAGUACUAGCACACCUAACAGUCAUUUCUUAAUCUUUCUCUCAGCUGACCUCCACCUCCUUCUAUUGUGUUUUCUUGGGUUGAGUACCAAAGUUCCUUAGUCUAUAUCAGGGACAGGCAGAUUUGCCAAGAUACAAGGAUAAAGCCUCUUGGAAAGGGGCCGAGAAAAUGAUGUAGCCACUGAAUUUCUACUUCUUUUUAUAACUACUUUUAGUCAUUAUCACUAGAUUAAACACACACACGCGCAUGCACACACACACACACACACACACACACACACGCACAACGAUCCUUAGUUCUGGUUGUUAUUCAUUAUUCUCCCACUUCUUUUCUAAAAAAUCUGCAUUACAAACAACCCUCCAGGAUCUUAUUCCAAUCAACCUAUCUUGAGUCUAACAAUUAAUAUUCCUAAUACAACCACUAUGCCAUUCGAGUUUUAUUUUUAAAGCAACAAAACUGAGGCCAGUCAAUCACAAAUCCUCAUGAAGAAGGAGGCCAGAGAGGUUAACCAGAGGGUGAACUUGGCACUGCAAAGCAAGCCCCCCUCCCCGUGUUUCCCUGUUCACUAAAGCUAGUGGUUUGGGUUAACACAGGAAACACAGUAAACACACAGUAAAUUGUACACACAAAGCAACCAUCAGUAAUUUGCCUGGUGGGGUCGGAUAGCAUGUGGCUGAUAGGUCUCAGGAGAUGGGGAACAAACAGCCAGGAUGGAUUAAGUGAUUGCGAUUGGCUGUGUCCCUACCCUGCAUAUUUCACCGUGGACAGUAAUCAAUUACCAGGGGCCAGUAAUGAUACCAUUCAAAUGCACUUAGCACUUCUGCACCAUCAACCUGAGGGCUGCCGACCUGCCAGUUUGAAAAGGCUUAUGGCUGUGUGAGAAGGGGUGCUGAGGGAGCCACUGUGAAGCCUUUAGGUCGGGGAAAGCGGCGNNNNNNNNNNNNNNNNNNNGUUAAAAAGAUGAUAAAUUAGUCACUCACCUGCCCUACAUUAAGGUUUCUUUUACAACAAGCAUUAUUCUCCUGCUCCCUCCGUCUCCCCAGGGGAUGGCUGUUUAUAAAUAUUUGGGCAUCAUCUGAGGUAUCGUGGUCAGCAGUUUCACGGGAACAAAACAGCCUCGAAGAAAAUACCCCAACAGGAGCUGAGCUGUGGUGAGGCCGGAAAAACAGCUCAACUCUUGCUUUUGCAUCCUGCCAGUCACCACAGUGCUCUGUGGCCACCAUGUCACUCCCUGUCUGUUUGUUCUGUGGCGCAAACGCUAUGCCUCUUCCGUGUGUGUCCAGAAGCCUCCUCUGUCCUUUCCACUGUCCGUGAGAAGUUGAAAAAGAAGGCAGCCUCUCUGUGGUUCCAUGUCAAAACACGUCAGGUGCAGCUCUUCCUGGGGUGGGCAGCUUCUCUUCUCCCUUCACGGCCAUCAUCAUUUAUAACACAGGCGUUCUCAGGAAGAAACACAAGCGUUGGAAGUUCACGGAGUCUUUUCCAACCCUCGUGGGGCUUCUGACGCUCCGUCCUCUAUUGCCUCUUUUUCCAGUGCCAGUCUUCUAUGAAGAGCGGGCUGUCCCAUGAUUACUACUCUGCUGGACCUUUUGGCUUAAAUAAUGGUAACUAAUCAAAAAGGGUGAGGAGGGUGGGGAAGAGGGAGCCCCAGAAGAGUUGUCCC